Molecule: ribosomal RNA, 207 nt
Filed under: uncultured bacterium
Lineage: Bacteria
Description: partial 16S ribosomal RNA
Rfam family: Bacterial small subunit ribosomal RNA
Source: RNAcentral
AGCGUAGGCUGCGCGGUAAGUCAGAUGUGAAAUCCCGGGGCUCAACCCCGGAACUGCAUCCGAUACUGCCGUGCUAGAGUAAUGGAGAGGUAGCUGGAAUUAUCGGUGUAGCAGUGAAAUGCGUAGAUAUCGAUAGGAACACUCGUGGCGAAAGCGAGCUACUGGACAUUUACUGACGCUGAGGCUCGAAGGCUAGGGGAGCGAAAG